CAUCAACACUCUUGGUAAUUGCAUUGGUACCAAAACUUAUCUGUGACAAUAUCUUGAACAUUAAUGCCUUUAAGAGAAAUGCCCUUAAAAAUACCUUUAGCAAGCAUUUCCUUAGCAAACACGCUCCUAGCAACAGAGAGUAAGUUUUGUAAGGGCAUGUGAAUACAAAGGCAGAGACUGGAGUGAUGCCAAGAAAUGUGAAAGAUUUCCAGGAACCAUCAGAAGCAAGGAAAAACGCAUGGAAAAGAUUCAGAGUGCUCAGAAGGAAGCAACCCUACCACCACCUGAUUUGGACUUCUAAGCUCCAGAACUAGCCCUGGCUGUGUUCACUGAAUGGAUCUAGUCUCUGAAAAUUCACCGACAUUUUUGGCUUGGCGCUGUGGCUCAUGCCUGUAAUCCCAGCACUUUGGGAGGUUGAGACGGGAAGAUUACGAGGUCAAGAGAUCAAGACUAUCCUGGGCAACAUGAUGAAAUGCUGUCUCUACUAAAAACACAAAAAAUUAGCUGGGUGUGGUGGUGCGAGCCUGUAGUCCCAGCUACUCAGGAGGCUGAAGCAGGAGAAUUGCUUGAACCCAGGAGGCGGCGGUUGCAGUGAGCCAAGGUGGCGCCACCGCUCUCCAGCCUGGCAACAGAACGUGACUCCGUCUCAAAAAAAGAAAAAAAAAAAAUUUCAGGGAUAUUUAUGUAGUGACCUGUUAUUUAAUUUUUCAAUAAUAUAAAUCUGUUUCAAGAAAAAGAAAUUUUAAACAAACUCUUAUGAUUUUCUUUCUCCUGAAAAUUAUUCCAGAACUUAAAAAAAAGGAGAAACAAAACAGAAAGCGAAGAGGACGUAAAUAUUCCCAUUUAGAAGCCCAAAGUCAGUGAGAUGAAACCCAACAUCAAGAAAUUGAAGCAAAGUUACUUGUGGAUAAACAAUGCAUUAGGAAAUGGACUCUCAGCUCUCUCAAAAAGUAUCAAAGAAGUGAAAUUCAUCAGACCACUGUGUCGAGACAAUGAGAUGCCAGAUGCCAGAUUCCUUAUUUGUCAUGAUUGCUUCCUUAGCCCUCCCUAGUUCCUGUUUUCCUGCUCAUAGUUACAUUUCUUCCUUGCUAUAUAAUCCCCUAAUUUCGGCUGGUUGAGGAGAUGGAAUUGAGACUGAUAUCCCAUAUCCUUAGCUGUAGCAUGCAAUUAAAGCCUUCUUCCUUG
This 1185-nucleotide long non-coding RNA is filed under the name Homo sapiens (human). RNAcentral's name for it is "HSALNT0148965". The record is from RNAcentral. Lineage: Eukaryota; Metazoa; Chordata; Mammalia; Primates; Hominidae.